UGGGGAAUAUUGCACAAUGGGGGAAACCCUGAUGCAGCCAUGCCGCGUGUAUGAAGAAGGCCUUCGGGUUGUAAAGUACUUUCAGUUGUGAGGAAGGCUUGAUAGUUAAUAGCUAUCAGGUUUGACGUUAGCAACAGAAGAAGCACCGGCUAACUCCGUGCCAGCAGCCGCGGUAAUACGGAGGGUGCGAGCGUUAAUCGGAAUUACUGGGCGUAAAGCGCAUGCAGGCGGCUUGUUAAGCAAGAUGUGAAAGCCCGGGGCUUAACCUCGGAACCGCAUUUUGAACUGGCAGGCUAGAGUCUUGUAGAGGGGGGUAGAAUUUCAGGUGUAGCGGUGAAAUGCGUAGAGAUCUGAAGGAAUACCGGUGGCGAAGGCGGCCCCCUGGACAAAGACUGACGCUCAGAUGCGAAAGCGUGGGGAGCAAACAGGAUUAGAUACCCCCGUAGUCC
Molecule: ribosomal RNA, 449 nt
Filed under: uncultured prokaryote
Description: bacterial SSU rRNA
Rfam family: Bacterial small subunit ribosomal RNA
Source: RNAcentral